Molecule: ribosomal RNA, 253 nt
Filed under: uncultured bacterium
Lineage: Bacteria
Description: partial 16S ribosomal RNA
Rfam family: Bacterial small subunit ribosomal RNA
Source: RNAcentral
GACGUAGGAUGCAAGCGUUGUUCGGAAUUACUGGGCGUAAAGCGUCCGUAGGCGGGUCGGCAAGUGGAUAGUUAAAACCCGGGGCUCAACCCCGAGGGUGCUAUCCAGACUGCCGGUCUGGAGGUCGGCAGAGGGUAAUGGAAUUCCCGGUGUAGCGGUGGAAUGCGUAGAGAUCCGGAAGAACACCGGUGGCGAAGGCGGCCUGCUGGGCAGUUGCUGACACUGAGGCGCGACAGCGUGGGGAGCAAACAGG